AGAGUUUGAUCCUGGCUCAGGAUGAACGCUAGCGGCAGGCCUAAUACAUGCAAGUCGAACGGGCUGGAGUAGCAAUACUUCAGUUAGUGGCGCACGGGUGCGUAACGCGUAUGCAACCUACCUUUUAUUGGGGGAUAGCCCGAAGAAAUUCGGAUUAAUACCGCAUAAUAUCAUUUGAGGGCAUCUGAGGAUGAUGAAAGCUACGGCGAUAAAAGAUGGGCAUGCGUGUCAUUAGCUAGUUGGUUGAGGUAACGGCUCACCAAGGCGACGAUGACUAGGGGUUCUGAGAGGAUGAUCCCCCACACUGGUACUGAGAUACGGACCAGACUCCUACGGGAGGCAGCAGUAGGGAAUAUUGGGCAAUGGAGGCAACUCUGACCCAGCCAUGCCGCGUGAAGGAUGAAGGCCUUCUGGGUUGUAAACUUCUUUUAUCUAGGAAGAAAAUACUCUUGCGAGAGGAACUGACGGUACUGGAUGAAUAAGCACCGGCUACUCCGUGCCAGCAGCCGCGGUAAUACGGAGGGUGCAAGCGUUGUCCGGAUUUAUUGGGUUUAAAGGGUGCGUAGGCGGCUUGAUAAGUCCGUGGUGAAAGCCAACAGCUCAACUGUUGAACUGCCAUGGAUACUGUCAGGCUUGAGUACAGACGAGGUAGGCGGAAUGGAUCGUGUAGCGGUGAAAUGCAUAGAUACGAUCCAGAACUCCGAUUGCGAAGGCAGCUUACUAGGCUGUAACUGACGCUGAGGCACGAAAGCGUGGGGAGCGAACAGGAUUAGAUACCCUAGUAGUCC
RNAcentral lists this ribosomal RNA (788 nucleotides) under uncultured bacterium. RNAcentral's name for it is "bacterial SSU rRNA". It matches the Rfam family "Bacterial small subunit ribosomal RNA", at positions 8 to 796 of the family's 1533-position model. The record is from RNAcentral.